RNAcentral lists this ribosomal RNA (253 nucleotides) under uncultured bacterium. RNAcentral's name for it is "partial 16S ribosomal RNA". It matches the Rfam family "Bacterial small subunit ribosomal RNA", at positions 524 to 776 of the family's 1533-position model. The record is from RNAcentral.
UACGAAGGGGGCUAGCGUUGCUCGGAAUCACUGGGCGUAAAGCGCACGUAGGCGGCUUCUUAAGUCAGGGGUGAAAUCCUGGAGCUCAACUCCAGAACUGCCUUUGAUACUGAGGAGCUCGAGUCCGGGAGAGGUGAGUGGAACUCCGAGUGUAGAGGUGAAAUUCGUAGAUAUUCGCAAGAACACCAGUGGCGAAGGCGGCUCACUGGCCCGAUACUGACGCUGAGGUGCGAAAGCGUGGGGAGCAAACAGG